RNAcentral lists this ribosomal RNA (433 nucleotides) under uncultured bacterium. RNAcentral describes it as "partial 16S ribosomal RNA". It matches the Rfam family "Bacterial small subunit ribosomal RNA", at positions 29 to 507 of the family's 1533-position model. The record is from RNAcentral.
AACGAACGCUGGCGGCGUGCCUAACACAUGCAAGUCGAACGAGACCUUCGGGCUUAGUGGCUCCUGGGUUGGUAACCGGUGGGGUUCUACCCUCGUGUUCGGCCUAACUCAUAGAGAUUUGAGCUAAUACCGGAUGAUAACGUAAGUCCAAAGAUGUAUCGCGUGAGGAUGGGCCCGCGUAGGAUUAGGUAGUUGUUUAGUUAAAGGCUCACCAAGCGGACGUUCCUUAGCUGGUCUGAGAGGAUGAUCAGCCACACUGGGACUGGGACACGGCCCAGACUCCUGCGGGAGGCAGCAGUAGUGAACAAUGGACGAUGGGCGAAUGCAGGAUCCAGCCGUGCCGGGUGAGUGAUGUAGGACUUAAGAUUGUGUAGGCCAUUGACCAGGGAUGAUUGUGACGGUACCGGGAGAAUAAGCGCCGGCUAACUACGUG